RNAcentral lists this ribosomal RNA (488 nucleotides) under uncultured bacterium. RNAcentral's name for it is "bacterial SSU rRNA". It matches the Rfam family "Bacterial small subunit ribosomal RNA", at positions 27 to 507 of the family's 1533-position model. The record is from RNAcentral.
CGGAUGAACGCUGGCGGCAGGCUUAAUACAUGCAAGUUGAACGGUAACAUGUUGUAGCAAUACGAUGAUGACGAGUGGCGCACGGGUGCGUAACACGUGUGUAACCUACCUUAUACAGGAACAUAACGUUGAGAAAUCGGCGCUAACAUUCCAUAAUAUUAUUUGUAGGCAUCUAUGAAUAAUUAAAACUCCGGUGGUAUAAGAUGGGCACGCGUUCCAUUAGCUAGUUGGUAAGGUAACGGCUUACCAAGGCAACGAUGGAUAGGGGUUCUGAGAGGAUAAUCCCCCACACUGGAACUGAGACACGGUCCAGACUCCUACGGGAGGCAGCAGUAAGGAAUAUUGGGCAAUGGAGGCAACUCUGACCCAGCCAUGCCGCGUGCAGGAAGACGGCCCUAUGGGUUGUAAACUGCUUUUAAUAGGGAUUAAAGUCGACUACGUGUAGUUGUUUGCAAGUACCUAUAGAAUAAGCAUCGGCUAACUCCGUG